UACGGAGGGUGCAAGCGUUGUCCGGAAUCACUGAGCGUAAAGGGCGCGUAGGCGGCUCGGUAAGUAGGGGGUGAAAUCCUGCGGCUUAACCGCAGGGCUGCCUUCUAAACUGUCGAGCUCGAGCACGGUAGUGGCAGAUGGAAUUCCCGGUGUAGCGGUGGAAUGCGUAGAGAUCGGGAAGAACAUCAGUGGCGAAGGCGGUCUGCUGGGCCGUUGCUGACGCUGAGGCGCGACAGCGUGGGGAGCAAACAGG
This 253-nucleotide ribosomal RNA is filed under the name uncultured bacterium. RNAcentral describes it as "partial 16S ribosomal RNA". It matches the Rfam family "Bacterial small subunit ribosomal RNA", at positions 524 to 776 of the family's 1533-position model. The record is from RNAcentral.